GACAGACAUUCAUCAGGGACCCGCCAUGUGGCAGCUCUGUUCUAGGCUCUUGGGAUAAAGCAGUGAGAAGUGCAGCCCCUGUCUUGCUGGAGCUCACAUUUCUAGACCCCAGCGUCUAGGACUCUGCCCUCCUCUCCCAUCCCCCUCCUGACCCACCCCGACUGUCAGUGUGGCACAUUGAUCAGAAGCUUCUGUUUUAGAGGCGGACAGAAGACUUGGGUUUGAGUCCUGCCUCCAACACCUAGGAACUCUGCCACCUUGGGUGAGCAGCUUAACCUCACUGAGCCUCAGUCUCUUCAUCUGUAGAAUGAAGAUGUAAGGAGUUGGUAAAAUAAUGCUACAGAUUAAAUGUAUCCAACAUGGAGCUGCACAGUUGCCUAAGUGCAGGAAGAGGGAGUACCAUUAAUAGCUACUCUGAUGCAGAAGAAGAAAGUAACUUCCCGAUGUCUAGGAAUUGGGCUUGGAGGACUGGAUGGGUGGCGGGGCCAUCGUUGGGAGGGGAACCUGGAAGGAAGAAGAUAUUGGGUGAUGUGGGGGUGGUGGUGUAUGAUGUCCAGGAGAUGUUUCACUGCCAUCAGUACCUCACCAGACUUCUCUCUCUCUCUCUCUCUCUCUUUUUAAAAUACGGAGCCCUUCACGAAUUUGCGUGUCGUCCUUGCGCAGGGCCAUGCUAAUCUCUGUAUCGUUCCAGUUUUAGUGUAUGUGCUGCCGAAGCGAGCACCUCACCAGACUUUUGUUAAGUGGAUGAAUGAAUGUCCACUUAACCCAAUCUCAGAGUCUCUGCCUUGGAAUAGUGGAAUUUACUCCAUGACAUUUAUUGUAGCUCCUGAUAUAUUUGGCCUUAUUAUUGCCAUCUCAUUAUUGUCUUUAUUUUUUUCUCCCUAAAAUCCUUUUUUUUCUGUUCUACUAGUGGCUACCCCUUCUUCCCACCAACAUACUGAAAUUUCUGUUUUUCUAACAACAUUAAAAAUUGACCAGAGUCUCCUACCCAAGUAA
Long non-coding RNA from Eptesicus fuscus (big brown bat), 996 nucleotides. RefSeq lists it as uncharacterized. The transcript has 2 exons. NCBI's taxonomy places the organism in Eukaryota, Metazoa, Chordata, Mammalia, Chiroptera, Vespertilionidae. The record is from RefSeq and is a predicted model, not a curated record.